UACAGCGGUCAUAGAUGGUGAAGUUACCGAUCCCUUCAGAACUCGGAAUAUAAACGGCCAAUCGCAUGGUUAGUACUAUGGUGGGGGGACCACAUGGGAAUACCAUGUACUGCUGAGA
RNAcentral lists this ribosomal RNA (118 nucleotides) under Conidiobolus coronatus NRRL 28638. Lineage: Eukaryota; Fungi; Entomophthoromycota; Entomophthoromycetes; Entomophthorales; Conidiobolaceae. The record is from RNAcentral.